GACGAACGCUGGCGGCGUGCUUAACACAUGCAAGUCGAACGGAAAGGCCCUGCUUUUGUGGGGUGCUCGAGUGGCGAACGGGUGAGUAACACGUGAGUAACCUGCCCUUGACUUUGGGAUAGCUUCAGGAAACUGGGGCUAAUACCGGAUAGGAGCUCCUGCUGCAUGGUGGGGGUUGGAAAGUUUCGGCGGUUGGGGAUGGACUCGCGGCUUAUCAGCUUGUUGGUGGGGUAGUGGCUUACCAAGGCUUUGACGGGUAGCCGGCCUGAGAGGGUGACCGGCCACAUUGGGACUGAGAUACGGCCCAGACUCCUACGGGAGGCAGCAGUGGGGAAUAUUGCACAAUGGGCGGAAGCCUGAUGCAGCAACGCCGCGUGCGGGAUGACGGCCUUCGGGUUGUAAACCGCUUUCGCCUGUGACGAAGCGUGAGUGACGGUAAUGGGUAAAGAAGCACCGGCUAACUACGUGCCAGCAGCCGCGGUGAUACGUAGGGUGCGAGCGUUGUCCGGAUUUAUUGGGCGUAAAGGGCUCGUAGGUGGUUGAUCGCGUCGGAAGUGUAAUCUUGGGGCUUAACCCUGAGCGUGCUUUCGAUACGGGUUGACUUGAGGAAGGUAGGGGAGAAUGGAAUUCCUGGUGGAGCGGUGGAAUGCGCAGAUAUCAGGAGGAACACCAGUGGCGAAGGCGGUUCUCUGGGCCUUUCCUGACGCUGAGGAGCGAAAGCGUGGGGAGCGAACAGGCUUAGAUACCCUGGUAGUCCACGCUGUAAACGGUGGGUACUAGGUGUGGGGUCCAUUCCACGGGUUCCGUGCCGUAGCUAACGCUUUAAGUACCCCGCCUGGGGAGUACGGCCGCAAGGCUAAAACUCAAAGGAAUUGACGGGGCCCCGCACAAGCGGCGGAGCAUGCGGAUUAAUUCGAUGCAACGCGUAGAACCUUACCUGGGUUUGACAUGGAUCGGGAGCGCUCAGAGAUGGGUGUGCCUCUUUUGGGGUCGGUUCACAGGUGGUGCAUGGCUGUCGUCAGCUCGCGUCGUGAGAUGUUGGGUUAAGUCCCGCAACGAGCGCAACCCUUGUUCACUGUUGCCAGCACGUUAUGGUGGGGACUCAGUGGAGACCGCCGGGGUCAACUCGGAGGAAGGUGGGGAUGACGUCAAGUCAUCAUGCCCCUUAUGUCCAGGGCUUCACGCAUGCUACAAUGGCUGGUAUAGAGAGUGGCGAGCCUGUGAGGGUGAGCGAAUCUCGGAAAGCCGGUCUCAGUUCGGAUUGGGGUCUGCAACUCGACCUCAUGAAGUCGGAGUCGCUAGUAAUCGCAGAUCAGCAACGCUGCGGUGAAUACGUUCCCGGGGCU
RNAcentral lists this ribosomal RNA (1346 nucleotides) under uncultured bacterium. RNAcentral's name for it is "bacterial SSU rRNA". It matches the Rfam family "Bacterial small subunit ribosomal RNA", at positions 28 to 1381 of the family's 1533-position model. The record is from RNAcentral.